UAUAUAUAUAUAAUGACUGAGCUUCUUUUCAGUGAAGGAAGCCGUCUGUUUUUAAACACUAAAAUCUUAAAUCUUUUUAAGUCGUCACUGUGAAAUCACCUGAUUUUGCCUUACAUGAGUAUUCUACUGUUCUACUUAAGUGUCUAACGUGACAACGUAUUUUCGUAACUUAUUGUAACAUUUUCUUGUAUUUCAGAGGAACUUAACUUUUGGUCAGUGAUAUUUGUGGUUAUGUUGUGUAAGGUUUGACAAAUCAAUGUACUGUAUUUUGUAUCGGUACAGUUUAUAGCCAAAUUGUUGAUGUUUUUAAAGUGGGGCUUAAAAACAAAACAAAAAAUCGAAAGGACGGGUGUGAGGUGUUUUUAGAAGGAGCGCAAUUAUGGGGAGGCUUUUUGCUCCUUGACAGGGAAGCUCUCACAAAAAUGCUAUUGAGCUUUGCCACAUCAUAUGACAAAAUACCAUACAAAGUAUACAGAUUUUAAUAGUUGAUCGUUGGAUAUUCAACAGUAUGGAAGCCUCCAAAUGGAUGUAUUGAUAAGAUGCAAACUUGCAGAUUCAGAGUAUUGUUUAUCAUAGAAGGUUUAUUUACCCCAUUAAGUAAACUGGAUGAAGUACAUAAAGGUUUAAGAAAGGAUAUAAUUGUAUUUUUUAUUUCUGUUAUUGUAUGCAGUUUUCUCAGAUAUCGAUUCUGAUCGGUUUAGUGUCACAAACCAAACAAAACUGGUCACAAUAGCAUUCAGGGAUGUAGUGGAGUCUAGAGUUGUUUACGCCUCCUUUUCAAAACGAAAAAUGUUUACACAAGCUUUCACCUGAAAAACAAUGUACAUAUUGAUAUUGUCUCCAGCUACAUCCAUGACACGGUCUCUUUUGCCAAAACAUGUGCAACAAAUUGUCAAAUUUUGAAACGUCAGAGUUCAAUCUGCGUUGGCCUUUUGUCAGAGUUUCCCUGAGAGGUGUUUGUAGGUCUGUGGGAUCAUGUUUGGUAUAGUGUAAUGUUCAUGUACAGUUGUGCUAAAUCAUUUACUCACCUAUAGCGCUGUUGGGAAGAUUUUCCAACCCCCUCCCCUCCCCUGCCCUCCCAUAAAGGAAUCACGUUUGGUUUACUGCACACCUCCACAGCUGUACGAUUUGUUUCAGUUCCAGUGUUUAUUUGUCCGCUGUAAAUCUUCCCAUCAAAUGUUUUGUUUGCCUUCAACAGAUCUGUGAUUCCUAUGCAAAUGAGACAAAAUAACCACCCUGAAAGGAAAAAUCCACCUCUGUUUCUUUUUUUUUUUUCUUUUUUAAACAGGAGUUAAGCUGGAUUUGUUCUUCUAAAGUGUUGUGAUUAUGGAGGCUUUGUACUGCCAGAAAAAAAAAAGUACGAACGGGAGCGUCUGAGAUGCAGAAAGAAGCAGUGUUAAUGAUCAACUUAGGCUGUUUUCUCUUAUUAAUGUUGGUAGAGAUCAUUGAUGAUAAAGACAGCUUUGAGUAACUUGAAAAGACACAACUAUAAACAUUAGACACAUCUAUUAUAGAUGCACAAUUAUAUCGGUAUAUCUUUGGUAUAGGCUGAUAAUAAAUACUUGAAAAUUAAAUAUCUUCAUCAGCCCAAAAUGAACGGUUCUGCCGAGUAGUUGUCUUAUUCUGCCCAGUGAUUAUGUACAUUUUGAAAAGUACUGUACGUCUGCAUCUGCCUGGCCCAUCAUAGUAAGAGACUUGAUGGCUAAAUACUGUAAAAAAAUAUAUCGUCUCCCUAAAAAUGUUACAUUGUGAUCGUGUCUGUAAAACAAGAGUCCCAAAAGAUGGAGCAGUUUGUAACGGAAGAUGAAGCUUUCCAUUGUCUUUUUGCGCGUCAGAAAAUAAACUAUAAUCUGGGCUAGUUUGAGUGCAGGUCAUCGAGUGUUGCGGUGGUGCUUUGACAAUCAAUGAGUGAAAUCGUGCGCUGAGCUCUAAGUGUGUUUCUCAGAGGAGUGUCUUGACAGAGAAACAAAAAUCCAGCUUAACUUUGAAAUAAGAAUGACAUUACAAAUCACAGAAUUCCUCUCACAUAUCUUCCAGUGCGACUGUUGUCUAUAAAGAAACCUUUCCCCCCAACCCUUGAGGAACAAACGCCACUGUUUUUAUAAUUUAGAUUAAUGGCGCAUCCUGCUGCAGUUGCUUGAAAUAUCUCAGUUGUCAUGGGCCAGUAAUCCAUAGGAAGAAGACAAAUAAACCACUAACAAAAAGGCCUUGAAAUGACCCUUUACCAGAAGCAUUUCUUUUUUCUUUUUUUCAUUUAUCUCGAGCUGGAUUUUUCCUUUAAGUCACUGAAACAAAUGUAUAUUUACUCCUGAAAAAGAAAAAAAAAAAAGAAAAAAUAAGCAUUGUAUUUGAGCCAAACGUCACUGUUGUAACACCGGUGAUGUUGAGCUUUCCUGUCAUCCUGCUGAAUCCUAGUCCUUCACACUGACCUUGUACAUAAACGCUAUCGGUGAAACAAAAUGCAUGACUAAAACAUGACAGUCAGAACCUCUACGUGAAGGCCUUCUAUAGCCGCGCAGGUUUGAUUUGUGUAACAUAACGCUAUCACAAAUGUCUAAAGGGAUGCAUGUGUGGGUUUCUCCAGUGCAACAGUUAACUCAGUUUUCCUGUUCAGUGACUCUGUUACCUCCAUCUCUGUAUAAUGCUACUUCAUGAAUGAUAAGAGAAUGUAUUUUCUGUGGCAGCGUACUAGUUUUCUUGCCAAACGUUGGGGAGUUUUAUGGUCCCAUCACAGUUGGACCAGAGUCUCUCUCUCUCUCUCUCUCUCUCUCUCUCUCUCUGUCUAUCUCUCUUCACCGUCUCCUCCUCAGAUGAAUUGGACUGUUGCUUGUUCUACUCUCUCUCUUUCUUACUUCCUACUGUAGCAUCUCACCGCGUACGAGUGUAAACAGUUGAUUCUCGCAAUGCAAAAGAAGCCUGCGGUCGAUCGGGCCCCUCGCCUCCAUCAGCGCAACCUUUUUUGUUGGCUUUUUCGAGUAAGAAAUGCAGGGGGAUUGCGGAUUUGGCACAUGCGCUGACCGUUUGCAUUAUGCGCACUUGAAUCCUCUGGCGCUUCUGCGUUACAUGGUCGACUGCAUGACAUGAUAGACGCAUCGAGCUGAUUCUCAUCCCGCGUUAGGUGCAGGGCAGGAGUUUGACCGAGCUGUGACAUCAGAUAUGAUUGUUCUAUGUUGCUGUUGCCUAUCAUGUCAGGUUUUGGACUGGGUAAAGUGUAUUCUGUUUUGUUGUUGUUGUUUUAUUUGUUUUUUAUUUUCUGUUCUUGUGCAAUGUUUAGUCCACUAGUUGCUUCGCACUUUAUUUGUGACUUAUGAGCAGGGACCGCUCUGCCUGAGGUGAAUGCUGACUGUUUGACUCCAGAUGUAGACUCCGGAGAUAUUUUCAUGUCAAAGAAAAGAUGAAUUCUCUAUUUUCCUUUGUAAACUAUAUUUUGGCUUGUCUUGUGUUUGUUUUUUUUGUUUUUUCAGUGAAGAUUUUAGGGGAUGCAAAACUAGAAAGGGCUUACUCCAGUGCAGCUUGUGCUCUCGUGUUGGAAAGGAACGGCACUCCGAAUGUACUUCUUUGUCGAUCACCCCCCCCACACACACACACACACACACGAAAAGCGCUUUGCGUUUGAGCAAGUUAUCACAGUGACACUAGAUGAACUCCCUGAAAUGCAGGUUACGCGUUUUAAAUAUGAAGAAUUACAACAUGUCAAACAUUUCUUCUCCAGUUCAACAUGAUUAAUGUAAGAAAUGCCUCUGUUUACCUGCAGGUGCAAUAGUAGAAGCAUUUAGUAGACGGUGGUCUGAAGUGCUGUCUCCAAGUUGGAAUUUAAUUCAGAGUUAAACAACAUGACAACAGUGUUAGAUGCCCUUUUCCAUCGUCUCAGAUUUGCUAACAAAGUUAACUAACGUUAGCCCUAGCAGAGAUUUAAGAGUAUGGCAGCUAAUACACCUCUAAUCAAAGUUAUCAAAUUGCAGAAGGGAAUUUAUGAGGGUGUUAAAAUCAACAAUGUUCAGCAGAGUUUGCCUGAUCGUGGUUUGGCGGGAAAACAUUCGCUUCUGUAGAACACAAAUUGGCAUUUUGCGACCUCUGGCUGACUUCGCAAAUAUUGAAACGUUCGACAUCAAACUCCCAUUUCCCUAAACAGAUGAGAUAAACGAAUCACCUCAAAAUAUAUUUUCUACUUCUUGUAAUCUAUUUAGUUUUGACUCGUCCGCUUGUGUCAGUCUGAGACUCCACCCGGUUGCAUUACUUGUCAGCACGACCUGCGUUUCCUAAAGAGUGCUGAAGCUAAAUCGUGUCGCAGACUGAAGAGGCAGACGAGUGAAGCUCAAACAGGAGUCCCGUGCUUUGAAGGUGUCUCUUAAAAGGGAAAGUUUGUCACACUUUAUGUCAAAAAGUCUGAUCAGUAUUGAUGGUGCAUGUAGUCAGUUGAAGCGGGAGCAUACAUUCACAGAGACAGCUGAGCCCCCCUUAGUUACUGUUGCUAGGUUGGACAAGCUUUGCAACAAGAAACAAAAAUAUUCUUUUACAGUACAAGCUUAUUGGAAGAAGUCUUUUUGGACCCCAGCAAAUCACGUGACAAUAUAAUUGGCCACUAAGAAAACUGUCUUCAGAGCCUGGCUCGUCCUGGGGGUGUGCUACAGUGUGAUGUGUCCGAGAGGAUUGUGGCAUCUAUAUACUGCAUGUAUAGAUAUCUGAUGUGUGACUUAGUUGGGAGCCAGAGCCCUUGAGAGUCGAGAAAACGGAUGUUCGAAAUCCUGGUCAUCACUUGUGCGUUGGAAAGUGUUCCCAGAAUUCCCUGAGCUCAUUUGCUGUCAUCAGGCCACCAGCUGGACCUGCUGGGCUCUGUAGGUGUCAAAGUCCUCAGGAAGUGUGUCUGCAGUGGGAAAAAGCAGGAAGAAGCUUCCGGCUGUAGAGGGGACUACUGAUAGGGGUGAAAUGUGCAAAACCAAAGCAGAGUGAUGAUAAGUCCGUUCAUGAACUGGACUCACCGUUGCAGCGAUAACGCAAGUUGGCCCAGAUGAUGUUCUCCUGGGAGAAGCAGAAGACUCCUAGUCGGCCUCCUCUCAUUGUGGCGUCUAUGAUGACGCCUGUGUCUGCCACCAUCUGAGGACCCUCGUAGAAACGAACUCUGCCAGCAAAAAAAGAACAGGGGUCUCCAAUCAAGUCGUUGUCCACAUCCGUCUAAGAAAGAUGACAUUGUAAAGCUGAUCAACAUCUGUGUGACAAGUUCUGCGCAGAGAGGUUCUUCUGAUUGCCAGUAGACUACAGAGGCAAGUCCGACGCCCUGGACCUGAGGGCCGGUGUAUCCAGCAGGACAGGAACCGCAGCGGAAACCCGGGGAGGUGUUUAUGCAGCGCACACCCAUGUGGCACGGCUUCACGAUACACUGCCAACAACAACAACAGAC
This is a long non-coding RNA of Acanthopagrus latus (yellowfin seabream), 5398 nucleotides long. RefSeq lists it as uncharacterized. The transcript has 5 exons. The record is from RefSeq and is a predicted model, not a curated record. Lineage: Eukaryota; Metazoa; Chordata; Actinopteri; Spariformes; Sparidae.